AACAGGUUAGCCAUUAACACAGAAUAAAGAAGGGAGCAGGCAUGGCACCUGCGCCACGCAGAGCAGCAAGGCUGAGCAUGACCACUGGAAAUAAAUAAACAUGGUGCCGACAGCAUCUUUAAAUUAGUAAGACGUUAGCACAAAACAAAAAAGCACAACGACUGAAAAUGCACUUGCUUGUUGUGGUGGGUUGUGCUUGAAAACACCUGAAGCCCACAAGUGGAAACCGCUGGGGACGUUUGUCAGUGGAGUGUGGAGAAAAAGGGACGGAAAAAUCAAGUCUUCUGAGACAGUCCCCUGCGGUGGCCCUGGUCCCUGUGGAAUUCCAGCACAGCAGGAGGGGGAGGGGGAAGCAGUGUGAAGACGGACCCCAGCGGCCCCAGCCAUUUCACUAGCAGCUACUUUCCAC
This 409-nucleotide long non-coding RNA is filed under the name Homo sapiens (human). RNAcentral describes it as "HSALNT0235172". Lineage: Eukaryota; Metazoa; Chordata; Mammalia; Primates; Hominidae. The record is from RNAcentral.